CCGAUGCAAACUACGAAUACCGAAGAAUGUUAUCACGGGAGACACACGGCGGGUGCUAACGUCCGUCGUGAAGAGGGAAACAACCCAGACCGCCAGCUAAGGUCCCAAAGUCAUGGUUAAGUGGGAAACGAUGUGGGAAGGCACAGACAGCCAGGAUGUUGGCUUAGAAGCAGCCAUCAUUUAAAGAAAGCGUAAUAGCUCACUGGUCGAGUCGGCCUGCGCGGAAGAUGUAACGGGGCUAAA
This 243-nucleotide ribosomal RNA is filed under the name Klebsiella pneumoniae. Its description in RNAcentral is "partial 23S ribosomal RNA". It matches the Rfam family "Bacterial large subunit ribosomal RNA", at positions 944 to 1185 of the family's 2925-position model. The record is from RNAcentral. Lineage: Bacteria; Pseudomonadati; Pseudomonadota; Gammaproteobacteria; Enterobacterales; Enterobacteriaceae.